Non-coding RNA from Felis catus (domestic cat), 85 nucleotides. NCBI's taxonomy places the organism in Eukaryota, Metazoa, Chordata, Mammalia, Carnivora, Felidae. The record is from Rfam.
GCCUGGGUGGCUCAGUCGGUUGAGCGUCCGACUUCGGCUCAGGUCACGAUCUCACGGUUCGUGAGUUCGAGCCCCGCGUCAGGCU